AGUGGGAUUGUUGGAUUAUGUGGUGGUUCUAUAUUAGUUUUUAAAGGGAUAUCCAUGCUGUUUUCCAUAAUUGGUAUAAUAAUUUUCAUUUCCACCAAUAGU
This 102-nucleotide microRNA precursor is filed under the name Marmota monax (woodchuck). Lineage: Eukaryota; Metazoa; Chordata; Mammalia; Rodentia; Sciuridae. The record is from RNAcentral.